This 253-nucleotide ribosomal RNA is filed under the name uncultured bacterium. RNAcentral describes it as "partial 16S ribosomal RNA". It matches the Rfam family "Bacterial small subunit ribosomal RNA", at positions 524 to 776 of the family's 1533-position model. The record is from RNAcentral.
UACAGAGGUCUCAAGCGUUGUUCGGAUUCAUUGGGCGUAAAGGGUGCGUAGGCGGCGCGGUAAGUCAGGGGUGAAAUCCUGGAGCUCAACUCCAGAACUGCCUUUGAUACUGGCGAUCUUGAGUCCGGGAGAGGUGAGUGGAACUGCGAGUGUAGAGGUGAAAUUCGUAGAUAUUCGCAAGAACACCAGUGGCGAAGGCGGCUCACUGGCCCGGUACUGACGCUGAGGUGCGAAAGCGUGGGGAGCAAACAGG